Molecule: ribosomal RNA, 292 nt
Filed under: uncultured bacterium
Lineage: Bacteria
Description: partial 16S ribosomal RNA
Rfam family: Bacterial small subunit ribosomal RNA
Source: RNAcentral
GUGCCAGCCGCCGCGGUAAAACGUAGGGGGCGAGCGUUAUCCGGAUUUACUGGGCGUAAAGCGCAUGUAGGCGGUUGGAUAAGUUAGACGUGAAAGCUCCCGGCUUAACUGGGAGAGGUCGUUUGAAACUGUUCGACUGGAGGUUGGAAGAGGAGAGUGGAAUUCCCGGUGUAGUGGUGGAAUGCGUAGAUAUCGGGAGGAACACCAGUGGCGAAAGCGGCUCUCUGGACCAAUUCUGACGCUGAGAUGCGAAAGCGUGGGGAGCAAACGGGAUUAGAAACCCCAGUAGUCC